Long non-coding RNA from Cyprinus carpio carpio, 1432 nucleotides. NCBI's taxonomy places the organism in Eukaryota, Metazoa, Chordata, Actinopteri, Cypriniformes, Cyprinidae. The record is from Ensembl.
UAUAUUGUAAAGACAAACUUUUAUUUUGGAUGCGAUUAAUCGUGAUUCACUAAUAUCAACACAACAUCGUUAUGAAUUAAAACAGAAUUGAUUGCUUGAGAAGAACUUCAUAAUGCAAUAUCAAAUGCUUGCAUGCUAUAUAUUAUUACUAGUUUAGUAAACCUACCAUAUAUCGAAUGCGAACGUUGUGAUAGGAGAAAUGUUUAAACAGCAUUGCUUCUCCAAAAUGCAGUAAGCAGUAAUCUAUUUAUGAUAAUAAUAAUAAAGCUACAAGAGAAAGUUCAUGUUUUUUUCACAGAUUCAUUGUUUUGUCUGCCAGCUCUUCCUCACACAUCUCACAUAUCUAAUGGUACUUUGAUAUAAAGAGAUACUUGAUAAACUAUAUGCAUAAAUAAUAAAAAUGCCUUUCUGUGAACAUAAAACAAAUUAAAUGCAUGCAGAGGGUGAAUAUACUGUAGAAUGUUCUGAGAAACACAAAAAUAAUCAAGUCACUUCUGAAAAGUAAUUUAAUAUACUGAACAUGUGCAAAUCUACAGCAGAACAUCUUUAAAACAGUCAUUGAUAUACAAUAGUCUGCUAUAUUUAUGGAAGGCAGGAAGUCCAAACACAACAAAUUAUUUAUGUUUUAAUAUUCAGGAACAUCGUGACUACAACUGUGAUAUUUUCUCUGGAUAGCAUCUCAACUCUUAAAACAUUUAUAUUUACAUUAACACAUAAAGCUAUAUUUGAAUUUACAAAAGUGAAUCAUUCUGUUAUCAUUCAAAACAACAUACGUGCUUCAGGAAGAUAUACGUUUUAACUUCUUAAAGCUCUACUUUAGAUCUUAUUCAAAACAAAAAAGCGAAUAUUUACAAGCCAAUUUCUUGAUACUUCGAUAUUAUUUCAGAGACUUUAACAUGGCAUUUGUCACAAAGUAGUUUAGAUAUAAAACAUGACUGUGAACAAAAAGAUGCUUUAUGGACCGUGUGACUGUUCAUAGCUAUUUUUGUACCGUGGGCUUGGAGCUUCUGAGGAGCUCUGUGGCUGAGAUUCGUUCACUGCAACUAGCCUUGGCACUUCUUGUCCUUCUCAGAAAAGCCAUGAAGUUGUCAUUUUGAGAACUGAUUUUGGAAGCUCCACUGCCGAGUGUCUGAGUGCCAGGGUCACCAUCACCCUGCUUAUUUUCGAAGGAGUCUUUACGACCCAGGAGCUUUCUUUUAGACCUGCAAAAUGGGAAAACAGUAUGAAAAAGAACAGAAGCCUACUCCAAAACAAGACUGGAGCUGUACUGGAAACUACAGUAUUUACCUGUGAAUUAUGGUGAAUAGGUCCUCUGUCGUUUGAGAUUUGGACUUGUAAAGAAACACAUCGUCUUCCUCUCCUACCAGUUGUAGAGGUCCAAGGUCGGGCGUUCGGUCCCUCUUCUCUACAUCAUAAGUUGAAUGAUCUGUUG